This 253-nucleotide ribosomal RNA is filed under the name uncultured bacterium. RNAcentral describes it as "partial 16S ribosomal RNA". It matches the Rfam family "Bacterial small subunit ribosomal RNA", at positions 524 to 776 of the family's 1533-position model. The record is from RNAcentral.
UACGGGGGGGGCAAGCGUUGUUCGGAAUUACUGGGCGUAAAGGGCUCGUAGGUGGCCAACUAAGUCAGACGUGAAAUCCCUCAGCUUAACUGGGGAACGGCGUCUGAUACUGGAUGGCUUGAGAUUGGGAGAGGGAUGCGGAAUUCCAGGUGUAGCGGUGAAAUGCGUAGAUAUCUGGAGGAACACCGGUGGCGAAGGCGGCAUCCUGGACCAACACUGACACUGAGGAGCGAAAGCCAGGGGAGCAAACGGG